RNAcentral lists this ribosomal RNA (279 nucleotides) under uncultured bacterium. Its description in RNAcentral is "partial 16S ribosomal RNA". It matches the Rfam family "Bacterial small subunit ribosomal RNA", at positions 334 to 609 of the family's 1533-position model. The record is from RNAcentral.
UAUACCUACGGGGGGCAGCAGUGAGGAAUAUUGGUCAAUGGGCGCAAGCCUGAACCAGCCAAGUCGCGUGAGGGAUGACGGUCCUAUGGAUUGUAAACCUCUUUUGUCGGGGAGCAAGGCCCGCCACGUGUGGCGGGAAGGAGAGUACCCGAAGAAAAAGCAUCGGCUAACUCCGUGCCCGCCGCCGCGGUAAUACGGAGGAUGCGAGCGUUAUCCGGAUUUAUUGGGUUUUAAGGGUGCGUAGGCGGAAGGUUAAGUCAGCGGUCAAAUGUCGGUUGU